GGAACAUUGGUGAGCUCUCACCUCAGUUCCUUUCCAUGCUGGCACCUGGUAAUAUGCUCAGAAAAAAGCAGCAUUCAGCCUUGACCUUUGUUAUUGGAAGACACAGAGGGAGAACUGGAUAAAAUAAAGUGGAUAAUAAUCCCUUUCUCUUUCUUUUCCUUCUAAACUGAUAAGCUAGGCCCAGUGGGUUGCCAAGCAGUGCAGGCCUGCUUUUCCUCCUCUCUCUACAGCCCAGUGGGAUCCAUCACUACCUCCAGCUGUGCCAUGCUGAGAGCCCUCACUGUCAAGACAGUGCCCAGCAGAGUGGGAGUUUCAGGCACUUACAACUAAUGAGCCCCAUUCGGAGAUGCUGAAUAAGCUGCCAGAGACCUGCAGGAUCAGGGCAGGUGGGGCAGAGGCCAUCAGCCUGGGGAGAAAGGAUAGAGGAGAGAGCAGGGGAGAGUUACCUGCAGCACCCAGUCAGCUUGUUGGUACUUGGGCGGAGGAAAGUUACAUAUGCUAGGGGCAUGUAGUACUUCAGUUGUAGAAGUACACCUAGCCCUGGUCCAGCAAAGCUUGAGAACACUUGCUAGACAUGAAGCCAUCAUGUACAUGACAACAGGUGAAGAACGUUCAUCAUGCCAGUCUUCCUCAUUCUGUCACCAGGAUUCACUAAGAUUGUAACCGUUGGAUCACCUUCAAUUAUAAAGUUUCUUCACCACCAAUCAGGAUGGUGGUGCUCAGCCAUUCUGUCUGGGCAUGACACACACACCUUGCUCAGUGGUGGCAGAGGGACAUCCAAAGAAUAGAGGACUUGUAGGCAUCAUGGUCUACAGAGGAUGCAUUAUAAGGAGGAACUUCUACCCUGAAGCAUAAGGUGGGCCCUUCAGGAACUCCUCUCAUGACAUGAGCUUAGAGCAAAGGAGGGAAGGCUUGGACUAAAGUUCAAGAAAACGAAGUACAUGAAAAUAUAACUAGGUUUGCAGAAGUACCCAUAAAAAUACAAAUACAGUAAUUCAUGCAGUCAUCUAAUCGUCACCAUUGAUGAUGGCCAUGUGGAGGAGCUAAACCGCUCAGCUUCCUGCCCAUCUUUACACUGAAGUGUCUACAUGAGGCAGACUUCUGAAAGUUUUGGCUGGGGAGAGGCAUCUUUGGACACUCCAAUCAGUAAACAGUAUCAACUUUCUAAAAGCAAGGUGUCAUGAAACCCCCUAACCUCAGUGCAAGAAGAAAGAAAGCUGCAAGUUAACAGUUCCUUUGUGACAAGCACAGAGGUCUUCGGAAAUGCCCCAACCCUUCCCUCUUUGUGGCAUCCAUACAGGCCUUCACAAUAAAAAAGUUUCUUAUUUUAGAGUUCUGUGUGAA
Molecule: long non-coding RNA, 1344 nt
Filed under: Numida meleagris (helmeted guineafowl)
Lineage: Eukaryota; Metazoa; Chordata; Aves; Galliformes; Numididae
Description: lncRNA (ENSNMEG00000002275.1)
Source: RNAcentral